Molecule: ribosomal RNA, 478 nt
Filed under: uncultured bacterium
Lineage: Bacteria
Description: bacterial SSU rRNA
Rfam family: Bacterial small subunit ribosomal RNA
Source: RNAcentral
AACAAACGCUGGCGGCGUGCCUAACACAUGCAAGUCGUACGAGAAAGUCGGCUUCGGCCGAUGAGUACAGUGGCGCACGGGUGAGUAACGCGUGGAUAAUCUGCCCUUAAGUGUGGAAUAACGUACCGAAAGGUGCGCUAAUACCGCAUAAUGCCUGGCAACACAAGUUGUCCGGCCAAAGAAGGCCUCUGUUUACAAGCUUUCGCUUCAGGAUGAGUCCGCGUACCAUUAGCUUGUUGGUGGGGUAAUGGCCUACCAAGGCUGCGAUGGUUAGCUGGUCUGAGAGGAUGAUCAGCCACACUGGAACUGAGACACGGUCCAGACUCCUACGGGAGGCAGCAGUGAGGAAUAUUGCGCAAUGGGGGCAACCCUGACGCAGCAACGCCGCGUGAGUGAGGAAGGUUUUCGGACUGUAAAGCUCUGUCGAGCGGGAAGAAGUGUACCAUGGCUAAUAUCCAUGAUAUUGACGGUACCGCGU